UACAGGGAAGCACUUCUCAGAAGUGGCUACAAAGAAUAAAAAGCAUGUAUGUAGGGCUCACAUCUAGAUCACAAACACACAAUAGAAGCAAUAGGGAAAGAAACAUCACACGGUCCACACUUCCUUACAAUGUCAACAUAACAAAAAAUUUUUAGGUCUUUAUUAAAAAGCACUUUCCUUUAAACCACAAAUAAUACAAAA
Molecule: long non-coding RNA, 201 nt
Filed under: Octopus vulgaris (common octopus)
Lineage: Eukaryota; Metazoa; Mollusca; Cephalopoda; Octopoda; Octopodidae
Source: RNAcentral